AUGGCGUUUCACGUCGCGUGCCCCAUCACUUGCCGGAGGGUGUGCGACUGCGAGCUAGGGUUCGGCGCCGCGAGGGCCAACAAGAGGGCCGGGGCAUGGGCCGGCGUCGCGGCGGCGCUCGAGGGCUUCCUCGCCGAUCCGUGGCUGCUGAGGCCGGCGGUGGCGGGGGCGGGGGAUGCCCGAGAGCCCGGCACGGUGCAGGUGGAGGUGCCGCCGCUCGAACUGCCGGAGGAGGGCGAGGACGAGGCGUGCAGGGCGGCGAUGCAGCGCCAGGCCGCCGCCGCGGAGGACUUCGCCAGGCGCCUCGAGGGCGCCUAUGAAUCUCCGGAGGCUGAAGGAGAUGAAGAUGACUCGGAUCGAGAAGAUCAAGGGAAUGCUGCUGUCAAGGUUAUGUGCCGCUUAUGCUUCUCUGGAGAAAACGAGGGCAGCUCAAAAGCUGCCAAAAUGGUUCCAUGCAAACUCUGCAACAAGAAGUAUCAUAAGAAGUGUGUGAAAAAUUGGGGUGAACAUAGAGAUCUCUUCCACUGGAGCUCGUGGAUCUGUUCAUCUUGCCGCAGCUGUGAGGUGUGUCGGCGGCCUGGUGAUCCCAAUAAGUUAAUGUUCUGUAAAAGGUGUGAUGGAGCCUAUCACUGUUACUGUCAGCAACCCUCACACAAGAAUGUUACUCAUGGACCAUAUUUAUGUCCAAAACAUACAAGGUGUCACAGCUGUGGAUCUGGUGUACCUGGGAGUGGCCAUAGCACAAGGUGGUUUUUGGGGUACACAUGCUGUGAUGCUUGUGGGCGGUUGUUUGUGAAAGGAAACUACUGUCCAGUUUGCUUGAAGGUUUAUAGAGAUUCUGAAGUGAUACCUAUGGUUUGCUGCGACGUUUGUGAAAAGUGGGUACAUAUUGAAUGUGAUGGCAUCAGCGAGGAAAAGUACCAGCAGUUCCAAGCUGACCAAAAUCUCCAGUAUACAUGCGCAUCAUGCCGUGGCGAAUGCUCCCAGAUCAGGGAUGCAGAAGAUGCAGUUAGGGAGCUUUGGAAGAGGAGGAACAUUGUUGAUCAUGAUCUUAUGGUUAGUUUAAGGGCUGCUGCUGGACUGCCUUCUUUAGAAGAUGUGACACCUUGUCCAAACUCGGACGAUGAAAGGCUCGGUGCAUUAGUAUUGAAAAAUGAUGGUAGAAACACACUAAAAUUCUCUUUCAAAAGUAACAGCAGUAAGCCUCCAUUAGAUCAAUCUGAACAAGAAAAGAAUGUUCCUAAGAACUCAGGGACGAAUAAGAAGCAUUCCAAGAAAAAAGGCAAUCAAGGUAAUAAGUCAGUUGCUGAUCCGAAUGAGAUAUUUCUUGAGAGAAGGCAUGAAGUCAAAUCAAUGAGUAGUCACUUGGGAGAUCAUACUGUAGAUAUUAAUCAUGACAGGAAUUCUUUCAAGAAUAAUGAGAAUGUGUUUGUUUUAUCUUCAACUCGAAGUUCAGAGAAGGAUCUGAAAUCCACAUCUGCGAAAGCUGCAACAAACAGUGCAGAUAUGAUACCAAAAGUCAAAAUCAAAGGCAGUAAGGUGCCGAGCCUGCAUUUCAAAGAUAUAGGUGAGGAAAAUAAUGCCAAGGGUGACACAGGGAAAGGUACCAAGUUGGUUAUUCAUCUUGGAACACGUCACAAAAGUAAAAGUGGCUCUCCUAAGUCUGAAAUGUCCAAUUCUCAUAAAGAGCAAGAGCUUGGUUUGAUGCAUGGAGGGAAAAUUGAUGUAACAAGCCACUUCAAAAGCUCGAAGAGUAGUAAAAAGGAAAAAAGUGUAAUGAAACUAGUUGGAGAGACAGGAGUACAGCAAAGAAGUAGCCUUUUGGGAGAUCUGGGCACCUCCAAAAAGCAUGCAACUGGAAAAAGGAGCAGUGCUCUAAUUUCUGGGAUGGAAAAUGCAAGUGAAAGUGGAACAAGAAGCAGAUCAUUUGGACAUAAGCAAUCUAUUCCCAGUCAGCUGACAGAGAGCCAGGGCACUGCUUCAGUUCCUGUCAACAACUCUCCUGACAGCUUAAAGCCCUCGUUGCUUAAACUCAAAUUUAAGCGUCCACAUUUGGAGCAGCCAAGUGCCCAGGUUUCCCAACCAGAGGAGCCGGCCACCUGGGCUUCUCAGCAAGAGGACUUAAAUGUUGCUAAAGGCCAGAGAUCAAAGAGGAAAAGACCUUCGACAGACAAGAUGGAUGGCUCAGAGGGCAGUACUCCAUCCAAGAGGCAUGGGCAGAGCACAGGGGACGAAGCAAUGGAUGCGACCUGGAUACUGCGCAAGUUGGGCAAUGAUGCAAUUGGGAAGAGGAUUGAGAUCCAAUUAGCUUCUGAUGGCAAAUGGCAUCAAGGUGUGGUAUCUAAUGUCAUCAGCGGCAUGCUUUGUGUUCAGUUAGAUAAUGGUAGCUCUGAGAACUUAGAGCUGGGAAAGCAGGCAGUUCGAUUGAUAGCUCAAAGAUCGAAGGGCGGAAAGAGAUGA
RNAcentral lists this ribosomal RNA (2460 nucleotides) under Triticum aestivum (bread wheat). Its description in RNAcentral is "partial small subunit ribosomal RNA". The record is from RNAcentral. Lineage: Eukaryota; Viridiplantae; Streptophyta; Magnoliopsida; Poales; Poaceae.